UAGGGAAUCUUCGGCAAUGGACGGAAGUCUGACCGAGCAACGCCGCGUGAGUGAAGAAGGUUUUCGGAUCGUAAAGCUCUGUUGUAAGAGAAGAACGAGUGUGAGAGUGGAAAGUUCACACUGUGACGGUAACUUACCAGAAAGGGACGGCUAACUACGUGCCAGCAGCCGCGGUAAUACGUAGGUCCCGAGCGUUAUCCGGAUUUAUUGGGCGUAAAGCGAGCGCAGGCGGUUAGAUAAGUCUGAAGUUAAAGGCUGUGGCUUAACCAUAGUACGCUUUGGAAACUGUUUAACUUGAGUGCAGAAGGGGAGAGUGGAAUUCCAUGUGUAGCGGUGAAAUGCGUAGAUAUAUGGAGGAACACCGGUGGCGAAAGCGGCUCUCUGGUCUGUAACUGACGCUGAGGCUCGAAAGCGUGGGGAGCAAACAGGAUUAGAUACCCUGGUAGUCCACGCCGUAAACGAUGAGUGCUAGGUGUUGGGUCCUUUCCGGGACUCAGUGCCGCAGCUAACGCAUUAAGCACUCCGCCUGGGGAGUACGACCACAAGGUUG
This 550-nucleotide ribosomal RNA is filed under the name uncultured bacterium. RNAcentral's name for it is "bacterial SSU rRNA". It matches the Rfam family "Bacterial small subunit ribosomal RNA", at positions 355 to 896 of the family's 1533-position model. The record is from RNAcentral.